AUGCACAUGCCUACAACAUUAAUGCAUUAGAUCCCAUUAUAACUCUAGAGUUAAGCAUGAUUGGGCUAGAGUAGUACUUACGGAGAAGUCCUAGUGUUUUACAUU
Picea glauca (white spruce) is the source of this 105-nucleotide non-coding RNA. The record is from Rfam. NCBI's taxonomy places the organism in Eukaryota, Viridiplantae, Streptophyta, Pinopsida, Pinales, Pinaceae.